RNAcentral lists this unclassified non-coding RNA (147 nucleotides) under uncultured fungus. RNAcentral's name for it is "sequence contains ITS1, 5.8S rRNA gene". RNAcentral also lists the same sequence under 1 other name. Lineage: Eukaryota; Fungi. The record is from RNAcentral.
CCGAGAGAGGGCCUCGAGCCCGACCUCCAACCCUUUGAAGUUACCCAACUCUGUUGCCUCGGGGGGCGACCCGGCCGCCGCGCCGGGACCCCCGACGGACCACACCACUCUGCGUUUCUGCGUCGGAGUUUGAAGGGAAAUCAAUCA